RNAcentral lists this ribosomal RNA (187 nucleotides) under Plasmodium knowlesi. Its description in RNAcentral is "partial 18S ribosomal RNA". Lineage: Eukaryota; Apicomplexa; Aconoidasida; Haemosporida; Plasmodiidae. The record is from RNAcentral.
UGUUAGCGAGAGCCACAAAAAAGCGAAUUCCAAUACCAUGCACUCAGCUUGAUGUGCGCAUCCUCUACCUAUUAAGUGUUAAUUAAAUUAUAAGGGUUUCGUUUUUAAAAUCUUCUAUAACUAAUAAAAAAAUACGGAAGAUUUUGUUACUUUGAGUAUCGCUUUUUUUGGGGCUCUCGCUACAACA